RNAcentral lists this long non-coding RNA (3363 nucleotides) under Marmota monax (woodchuck). Lineage: Eukaryota; Metazoa; Chordata; Mammalia; Rodentia; Sciuridae. The record is from RNAcentral.
CAGAGACCUACGCGGCGUCCAGAGAGGCAUCUGUGCGGAGGGCCAGCGCCGCGGGUGACUCUGCCUGGCUUCUGUCCUGGGUGGCAAAAGCUACCUCGUCCAAACUUUUUUGCGCAUCCCCUGAAGCCUACAGCGUGGGCGCCGCGUCCCCACCCGUUGCGCCCGUCCUCUCCCUCCCGCGGCCAGGAGCCCUUCGCUUCCCCCCUGCGGCUCCUAGAUGGUGGACCAUAACAGACGGAGUGGCCUUCCAGGCACAGGGACGACCUCGGCCAACAGGUAGGCAUUUCCUAGGCCCUGGUUCGCCUUUGGGCUGCACAGAGCCUGGAAGCCGGGCACCCGGGGGCCGGAGUAAGAAACAGCACCGGAGGCCCGGCCUCCAGAUCUGCUGAGCGACCUGGUCUUUGUGCCCUUGGACCUUCCUGCCUGGUUCCCGUCUGUAGAACGGGGCUCGUGACAGUGCACGUCCAGAAUUAGGGCAGAUCACAAGGAACGCCGCGAAUAACAGCCUUAAAUAUUAUAGGGUAAAAAUAGGGCCUCCUCGCGUCAGAAGUGAAUUCUGGGACAUUACUCCUGCUGAACUCAAGUGUCAGUACGCAUUCAUUAACCACCGACCGUGCGCUAGGGCUCUUGUAGGUCCUGCAGGGAACAAAAUGUACAAAACCCCCUGACCACGCCCCUGACCACGCCCCCAGCGCCAGGCCUGCGCGCCCCGCCUCCAGCCCCCUCCCUGCCCCACCCCGUGUGAUCUACAUAUUCAUGAGCCGUCAGCCAAUCCACAGCCUGAACCCUUCAGAGCCCCGGUGACGGUGAUGCCAGGAGUGACGCCUAAAGCGAUUCUUAAAGGCGCAGUAACUUCUCAAACAGGAGGCUGGACAGGAGUCUCCGGAUUCUCGGUGGCCUCAGCUUGCACAGCUCCAAGAGGCGGGUUGGGGUACAGGCACGGAAACCAGCGCAGAGCAAUGACGCUUGAACAGUUUUGCCAUCCUGGGUGCGAUCCAGGGAUGCGAGUCGAGCCGCGCUGCCCCGGCAGGCACUUUGCCCCAGCCUGGACUUCAGCACCGGGGGUCCCGGACAGCUCCGAGCCCUGGACAGAGGGACCCGUGCCGUGCGGGCGGGUGGGUGGGAGUGGAGGGAGCUUUCCAGUCUUGCUUCCCUUAGAAGCCAGUCCACGGGGGUGCAGGCCUGGUCUUUCUAGGUCCGAUGUUCCCCCUUCAUCACCGUAUCACAGGAGUUCAGUCGCCAAUCCAUGAACCCACCCGACUUCUCGGAGUAGGCGCUUCUCAGGACAUCAGUGCUAGGCCGACCCCUGGACCCUCCUCCUCCUCGGUCAGCUCCAGCUGAGCUCUUCACCCUCAUUACGCCCGGUCCUGCCCAGCUCACCUGGACAGCCGGCUCCACUGUCCUGCUCUCCACCCGCAGCGGAACCUAUCACAGGCCUCAGGUAAGCAUGACUGCGCGUCCAUCCCCCAACGACCUAAGUUCCCCAAGGGCAGGAGGGGGGUCUGUUUUGGGUCCUGUUAUGUCCCUAGUGCUCAGUGCACAGACUGGCAUACAGUAGGUGCCCAGUAAAAGUCUGACAAACGAAUAAAUGAGGGGGUGAAUGAAGGUCACCGCGCACAGCAUUGGCUGCUGAUAACGCCAAGGUCACGGGUUUGUUCCCCGUAUGGGCCACCAAAUGCCGCAGUCUGGCUGGGCACAAUCAGGAGCCACUUGUCAAAAGAAACUAACUUUAUUUUUAGAACCACACACGCCAAACAAAACAGCCUCUCAGGAAAAACCCUCAGAGCCUCAACUGCCACCACCGGCNGACUAUCAGAAAAUAAAUUAAAUACAGAAUCUUUAAACAUCACAAAAGCUUGUAAAACUGCAUUAAGCUCUACCUUUUGAGCUGAUUGUUUGGGUACUAAAAAUGUAAAAGUUUGAUCAGGGGUAACUACUGCUGCUGUACCAUUAUUUGACCCAUCAGUGAAUAUAUUUGGAGCAUUCAUGAUAGGUGUUUUUCUUGUCAUUUUUGGAAAAAUUGGGGGACGUCUGAUGACCCACUGGCUCUCACAACAAAAUCUCCAAAGGGCACAUCAUGGAGUCCCCUGUGCAGAUGGGGAGACAAGACCCAAACAUGGGAGCAACUUGCCCCGCUGGACAGACCCAGCAGCCGUCACAGAGCUGAGUCCCUACCAGAGGAGUCCCCAGGGGGAGGAGGCUCCUGCGCAGGGCUGUAGAGGGUGGGGGUGGGGGUCAAGGGUCAGAGGAGGCCUUCCACGCAGCAGGCAGGGCCGGAGCCAGGGUGAGGCCUGUGGCCAAGCCCUUGCCCAGGACGGUACCAUGCUGCGACGUGGAAGGGUCCCAACAGCUCGACGCCCUCACCAGCGCUCGGCAUUGCCGGGUCUUAAGUUUUACUUUAGCCAUUCAGAUACACGCGUGUGAUGUCGCGCUGUGGAUCCUCCUCCCUGCUGGGGACACACUGCCCCUCUCCUGGGAGUUCCCUCUGCUCCCUUGGCUCACCUGGUCACCUUACCUGGCUCGCUCCUCCCUCGUGAGUCUCGAGUUAGCUGUGGUCUCACUCUGUCGACGGCCUCUUUCACAGGGCGGAAUUCCUGAUCUUGACAGAGCCUGGUACAUCACGUUCUUCUUUCACGGGCUGAGACUUUUCCCCUGUAACGUUCCGUGGUUUGUCUGUCUUUAGGUCUGCGAUCCAUUUCCAGGUGGCCGUCGGUGUGAGGCGAGGCUGUGCGUGGCUGGCCAGGCCUGCGAGUUGAAGCCCUCCGCCCUCCUUGAUUCACUGGCCACUGCAGGGGCAUAUGCUGGCCGUGCCUGUUCCCGACUCGGUUCUGUCCAUCCUUUGGUCCCUGCCACGUUGUCUAGAUUAAGAGCUGACGGAAGGCAGACAGGAAGCCUCCUGGGCAGGCCACAGCCGCUGGGCCGCUCUCCCACUGGGCCCUGAAAGCUGCCGGCUGUGGAGGGCAAGUGAGCGGCCACACUGCGUCCCAGUGACACUGUGCUCACAGAGACAGGCAGGGACCACGUUUGCAGGCCCCCGCUGACCCUGCCCCGGCAUGCACAGGGGCCAGGCUCUUGGUCUGCGUUACUGGGGGUCAGUAUGGAAUAAGGGAGGGUGACUCUUCCCAUUUUGUUCUUUUUUCUGGUUCUGGGGUGGAACCCAAGCCCAACACGUGCUGAGCGAGCGCUCUCCGCGGAGCUGAGCCUUUAAUCAGAGUUGCAUUGAAUUCAUGGGUCAGUUUGGGGAGAAGUUGACAGCUCAGCAUGUUGAUUCCCUCAACCUUGAACCCUGCAUCAGUCAGCUUUCUGUUACUGUAACAAGUACCUGAAAAAAAGCAGCUCAUAAAGAGAAAAGGUUUAUUUUCA